UUUCCUUUGUAAUAUACAUGGUCCACCUCCCCUACCACGAUGUUAGCUGAACUCAAACAUAACUAUCAUUUCUUUCAUAUUCCCCGCAAUUUCGUAACUUUAAGGGGAAUAUUAAUUGCUUAAAAAAUAAUGAUAAUAGAAUAUAUUUCGAGUGUAAUGCUGAAAUGGUUACAUUUAUUUAAUGAAAAGAAAACAAUGUUGAAAUUUUCGUUAUUGAUUGGUCAAUAAUGCUGGCUGUUGCAUAGCAACAAAUUUAAAAUUGUUAUCCAUGAUAUAAAUACUAUCGCGCGCGGAUGUCAUCCAAACAAGUAAAAAUAGACUACUACUAGUGUGUGCGAUCAAUAUAUAUAAUACGCUACGUGUCUUUGUAUAAAUAUACUUUUUGUGUGUGUGAGUAACACUUUAGCAUUUGAAGCAACUGAAUUUGUUCCAAUUUAUAAGAUUUACUUUCUAAAUCAUUCGACACGAGCAGGGGUCGUUUUGUUUAUCUUAUGCUUAAUGGGAUCCCAUUGAUGAAACUGUGAAGUUUUCUAAGUUAUCCAAACGCGUUUCUGCUUCCUUUCGGCUCCAGCAUCUCUACUUAAUUGUUCUGUUUAUCUUUGUGAUACAUAUAUAAUCCAAAACCAGGAGGAAAAAGUGAAAACGAGGAACAAGGAAAAGAAAGAAAAGGAAAAGGAAAAAACAUCAAUUCAACACCAACAAAGAAGAAACUCAAAGCUGCAGCAUCUUCACUUGCUGCAUCAGGUGGACUAUUCUCACAUUUCCAAAUCAGCAAUUGUAUCAGAGCCCUAAACACCUUUAAGUUUUCAGAGCAAGUCUAUUUUGUGUCAGAGAACUUCUUCAAUUUUCAAAUAUGGAACUUGGCAUGGCUGGAGAAGCUAAGUUUGUAUGAUAAGAGCAUAGCAUUUAUUUGACAUUGAAAUGAAAUUACCAUUUUAAAGAAUAAGGCAAUGUAUAGCUUGAUUUUUCACUUUCUCCAAGCACAAGUUGUACAUAGUUGUGUACAUAAGAUACUUUUUCAUUGUAGAGAAGAAUCUUUGACUGAAGCUUUUGGUAUGAUGCAUUCAUGUUAGCAGCUCCAUCACAAUACUAAUCCCUCAUGUUUUCUAUCUGUAAAUUAUUUCAUUCUUAAAAAGACAGGUCAAUGCCCCAGCUCUUCACUAGCUAUAGACUCUAUGUCAAAUGCUUCAAUGAAAUAGUCUUUUCUUUCAUUAUUGUGUAUGCACAUAGAAGCCUGCCCAGUGUAGGAAACAUCUGUGAUUUCGUCCAUGAGAAAUAAAUAUUAUGAUUACUGCCA
Molecule: long non-coding RNA, 1297 nt
Organism: Octopus bimaculoides (California two-spot octopus)
Lineage: Eukaryota; Metazoa; Mollusca; Cephalopoda; Octopoda; Octopodidae
Source: RefSeq, a predicted model, not a curated record